AGGAUGAACGCUGGCGGCGUGCCUAAUACAUGCAAGUCGAACGGGGAUAGUAAUAUCUUAGUGGCGACCGGGUGCGUAACACGUAGCUAACCUGCCCUCAGCGGGGGACAACUGUUGGAAACGACAGCUAAUACCGCAUGAUAUUGGAGAGACUAAAUAUUUCCAAUUAAACUUACGGGGCUGAGGGAGGGGGCUGCGGCCCAUCAGGUAGUUGGUGCGGUAAAAGCGUACCAAGCCAAUGACGGGUAGGGGGCCUGAGAGGGUGGUCCCCCACACUGGGACUGACAACGGCCCAGACUCCUACGGGAGGCAGCAGUAAGGGAUAUUGCGCAAUGGGCGAAAGCCUGACGCAGCAACGCCGCGUGGAGGAUGAAGGCCUUCGGGUCGUAAACUUCUUUUAGCAGGGACGAGGAAGGACGGUACCUGCGGAAUCAGUCACGGCUAACUACGCGCCAGCAGCCGC
This 463-nucleotide ribosomal RNA is filed under the name uncultured bacterium. RNAcentral describes it as "SSU rRNA". It matches the Rfam family "Bacterial small subunit ribosomal RNA", at positions 26 to 518 of the family's 1533-position model. The record is from RNAcentral.